This 406-nucleotide ribosomal RNA is filed under the name uncultured bacterium. RNAcentral's name for it is "partial 16S ribosomal RNA". It matches the Rfam family "Bacterial small subunit ribosomal RNA", at positions 30 to 526 of the family's 1533-position model. The record is from RNAcentral.
AUUGAACGCUGGCGGCAGGCCUAACACAUGCAAGUCGAACGAGUGGCGGACGGGUGAGUAAUGUCUGGGAAACUGCCUGAUGGAGGGGGAUAACUACUGGAAACGGUAGCUAAUACCGCAUACCAUCAGAUGUGCCCAGAUGGGAUUCGCUUGUUGGUGGGGUAACGGCUCACCAAGGCGACGAUCCCUAGCUGGUCUGAGAGGAUGACCAGCCACACUGGAACUGAGACACGGUCCAGACUCCUACGGGAGGCAGCAGUGGGGAAGAUUCGGCAAUGGGCGCAAGCCUGAUGCAGCAAUGCCGCGUGAGUGAAGAAGGCCUUCGGGUUGUAAAGUACUGUCAGCAGGGAGGCGUUACCCAAACAGGAAGCACCGGCUAACUCCGUGCCAGCAGCCGCGGUAAUUC